CACAUGGUUGGGACUCGUCACUGUGUGUUUUAUUACUGUACUUAGCCUUAUUUCACUUACCUUUGCUCAGAGCCCUGCAGUGGGAGUCUCCCCCAAGAUGCCUCUGUUUCUUGCCAUCCCAGAAGAGUCACGGGCCUCAGCAGCACAGAUCAUUGUGUCAUGGGAGCGGAGACAUAGAGGUUACCUCACCCACCUCAAGGCAGGAAGAACUGCUGGCUUACUCACCUGCUGGAGAGUUUGGAACCCGGCUGCAAGCGCUGCCUGAGCGGCCAUGAGACUGUGCUGAGAAACCACAGGCGGCAUGUGAAGCUUGAUCCUGUCACAUACCAUGGUACACACAUGUAGUCUGUGUGUGUGUGUGCAGAGAAAAGGACCUGAGAGAUACACAUAUUCCAGUGAGCACCAGUAACGGUGGGCACCCCCACGAGAAGGGUUGGUUUUGGGGUGUGGUAUUCAGGGAGGGAGACUCGUUGCACAGUGUACAUUUUUAUAGCAUAAGUGUUUGAAAUAAAAACUUCUAUGAAUACUUUUUAAAAAUAAAUUCUCCUUGGGAAUGUAAAA
Long non-coding RNA from Cynocephalus volans (Philippine flying lemur), 561 nucleotides. RefSeq lists it as uncharacterized. NCBI's taxonomy places the organism in Eukaryota, Metazoa, Chordata, Mammalia, Dermoptera, Cynocephalidae. The record is from RefSeq and is a predicted model, not a curated record. The transcript has 2 exons.